GUAACCAUUUUGGAGCUAGCCGUCGAAGGUGGGACAAAUGAUUGGGGUGAAGUCGUAACAAGGUAGCCGUAUCGGAAGGUGCGGCUGGAUCACCUCCUUUCUAAGGA
This 107-nucleotide ribosomal RNA is filed under the name Staphylococcus agnetis. RNAcentral describes it as "partial 16S ribosomal RNA". It matches the Rfam family "Bacterial small subunit ribosomal RNA", at positions 1435 to 1533 of the family's 1533-position model. The record is from RNAcentral. Lineage: Bacteria; Bacillati; Bacillota; Bacilli; Caryophanales; Staphylococcaceae.